GACGAACGCUGGCGGUGUGCUUCACACAUGCAAGUCGAACGAGGUAGCAAUACCUAGUGGCGGACGGGUGAGUAACGCGUGGGAAUCUGCCUUUAGAUGGGGGAUAACGGGUCGAAAGACUCGCUAAUACCGCAUAUGACGAAAGUUGAAAGGAGUAAUCCGUCUAAAGAUGAGCCCGCGUCCGAUUAGCUAGUUGGUAGAGUAAAAGCCUACCAAGGCGACGAUCCGGUAGCUGGUCUAGAGAGGAUGAUCAGCCACAAUGGGACUAGAGACACGGCCCAUACUCCUACGGAGGCAGCAGUGGGAAUUUACGCAAUGGGCGAAAGCCUGACGUAGCGACACCGCGUGAGCGAAGAAGCCCCUUGGGUGUAAAGCUCUGUCAGCUGGAACGAAAAAAAUAGACGGUACCAGCAGAGGAAGCAUCGGCUAACUACGUGCCAGCA
This 443-nucleotide ribosomal RNA is filed under the name uncultured bacterium. RNAcentral's name for it is "bacterial SSU rRNA". It matches the Rfam family "Bacterial small subunit ribosomal RNA", at positions 28 to 513 of the family's 1533-position model. The record is from RNAcentral.